AUUGAACGCUGGCGGCAUGCUUUACACAUGCAAGUCGAACGGUAACAGGCCGCAAGGUGCUGACGAGUGGCGAACGGGUGAGUAAUGCAUCGGAACGUGCCCAGUCGUGGGGGAUAACGCAGCGAAAGCUGUGCUAAUACCGCAUACGAUCUAUGGAUGAAAGCGGGGGACCGUAAGGCCUCGCGCGAUUGGAGCGGCCGAUGUCAGAUUAGGUAGUUGGUGGGGUAAAGGCUCACCAAGCCAACGAUCUGUAGCUGGUCUGAGAGGACGACCAGCCACGCUGGGACUGAGACACGGCCCAGACUCCUACGGGAGGCAGCAGUGGGGAAUUUUGGACAAUGGGCGCAAGCCUGAUUCAGCAAUGCCGCGUGCAGGAAGAAGGCCUUCGGGUUGUAAACUGCUUUUGUACGGAACGAAAAGGUUUGGGUUAAUACCCUGGGCCGAUGACGGUACCGUAAGAAUAAGCACCGGCUAACUACGUGCCAGCCGCCGCGGUAA
Molecule: ribosomal RNA, 498 nt
Filed under: uncultured bacterium
Lineage: Bacteria
Description: partial 16S ribosomal RNA
Rfam family: Bacterial small subunit ribosomal RNA
Source: RNAcentral